RNAcentral lists this ribosomal RNA (484 nucleotides) under uncultured bacterium. RNAcentral's name for it is "bacterial SSU rRNA". It matches the Rfam family "Bacterial small subunit ribosomal RNA", at positions 28 to 508 of the family's 1533-position model. The record is from RNAcentral.
GACGAACGCUGGCGGCGUGCCUAACACAUGCAAGUCGAACGGAACUUUUUUAAAAGAUUUCUUCGGAAUGAAUUUGAUUAAGUUUAGUGGCGGACGGGUGAGUAACGCGUGAGUAACCUGCCUCUAAGAGGGGAAUAACAUUCUGAAAAGAAUGCUAAUACCGCAUAAUAUAUAUUUAUCGCAUGGUAGAUAUAUCAAAGAUUUAUCGCUUAGAGAUGGACUCGCGUCCGAUUAGUUAGUUGGUGAGGUAACGGCUCACCAAGACCGCGAUCGGUAGCCGGACUGAGAGGUUGAACGGCCACAUUGGGACUGAGACACGGCCCAGACUCCUACGGGAGGCAGCAGUGGGGGAUAUUGCGCAAUGGGGGAAACCCUGACGCAGCAACGCCGCGUGAAGGAUGAAGGUCUUCGGAUUGUAAACUUCUUUUAUUAAGGACGAAGAAAGUGACGGUACUUAAUGAAUAAGCUCCGGCUAACUACGUGC